AAGUUAUGCAUGUAUUGAUCAUGUUUAAUAAUAUUUAACCAGCAGUAGUUGUAUGUAGUUUAUUAUUUAAUCGGAUAAAUAAACAACCUUGAACAUGUAAAUUGAGUGAGAGGAAUGAACGUGAAGACUAAUUUUCAAUGCCAUUCAUUAAAUUAUGAUGUCAGAUAUUAUAUAGAAUUUUAAUUUAUGGCGAGAUUUAUGCCAUCAUUUAUCAUCAUAUGAAUGGUUCUUGUGUCACUUAUCAAUAAAAGCAUGAACUUUGCAAAUAGGCAAAAUAUUUUGUAACUGAAAAAUUAUUUCAAAAUAUUCAGGAAAUUAGAAUUAUAAUGUGUGUUAUCACAACCUAAAGGUCUGGAAUUUGGUUAAAAAGGCGAAAUUUUUAUCAAGACACACACUAGUACCUUUUGACCCCUGGAAAUACGUAUUCUUAAAAAAAUUGCCAUGUCGUCGCUGAAGAUUUGCCUCUUGAUUGUUGGACUAGUCGUAAUUUUCGCCUUUUCGGUUCAGGGUCUUCCCAUCAACGAGGACGACGGCGUCAAUAUCCUCCCUGCCAAAGCGGAGUCAGAAUCAAGGUCGCAGGACCAUGUCGGCAAAAAGGAGACCAAGCACUUUUUUGGAGGAGCUCCAUAUUAUGGGGGAGGAGGCUGGGGAUAUGACUAUUAUUACUAUUAGAGGAAAAUAAUCAGAAAUAUUCAUUCCGAAAUAGAGGAUACAAACAUCGCAAAAUCGUAAAAAUAUAUAUAUUUAUUUCUACCCAAAACGAUUUCUCAUCUAAAUUAAGAAGUUUUUUUGUUUGAUUACGUAUCACAAUAAUUUGUAAAUAUGUUUUAAAUUUGUUAUCAAUUUGGUCUUUUAAUAAAUCGUAAAAUAUUUCUGCUCA
This is a long non-coding RNA of Folsomia candida, 880 nucleotides long. RefSeq lists it as uncharacterized. NCBI's taxonomy places the organism in Eukaryota, Metazoa, Arthropoda, Collembola, Entomobryomorpha, Isotomidae. The record is from RefSeq and is a predicted model, not a curated record. The transcript is spliced from 2 exons.